GCCUAUGACAGUGGGAUAGCCUCGGGAAACCGGGAUUAAUACCGCAUAAAAUCGUAGAAACACAUGUUUCAACGGUCAAAGAUUUAUCGGUCAUAGAUGGGCUCGCGUCUGAUUAGCUAGUUGGUGAGAUAACAGCCCACCAAGGCGACGAUCAGUAGCCGGUCUGAGAGGAUGAACGGCCACAUUGGAACUGAGACACGGUCCAAACUCCUACGGGAGGCAGCAGAA
Molecule: ribosomal RNA, 228 nt
Filed under: uncultured Finegoldia sp.
Lineage: Bacteria; Bacillati; Bacillota; Tissierellia; Tissierellales; Peptoniphilaceae
Description: partial 16S ribosomal RNA
Rfam family: Bacterial small subunit ribosomal RNA
Source: RNAcentral